GCAUUGCGGUGAUGAAUUUUGUAUUUUCGCAUGUCAGACUUCAGAGAAGCAUCUGGUGGCAAGUCAUAUGCUAUGACUGAGCAAUGA
This 87-nucleotide small nucleolar RNA is filed under the name Triticum aestivum (bread wheat). Its description in RNAcentral is "Small nucleolar RNA R64/Z200 family". It matches the Rfam family "Small nucleolar RNA R64/Z200 family". From Rfam's summary of the family: This family of plant small nucleolar RNAs belong to the C/D class of snoRNA which contain the C (UGAUGA) and D (CUGA) box motifs. This family includes Arabidopsis thaliana snoRNA R64 and Oryza sativa snoRNAs Z200 and J16. Most of the members of the box C/D family function in directing site-specific 2'-O-methylation of substrate RNAs. The record is from Rfam by way of RNAcentral. Lineage: Eukaryota; Viridiplantae; Streptophyta; Magnoliopsida; Poales; Poaceae. RNAcentral also lists the same sequence under 1 other name.